This is a long non-coding RNA of Tigriopus californicus, 1650 nucleotides long. RefSeq lists it as uncharacterized. Lineage: Eukaryota; Metazoa; Arthropoda; Copepoda; Harpacticoida; Harpacticidae. The transcript has 2 exons. The record is from RefSeq and is a predicted model, not a curated record.
CACGUAGUCUUGCAACAUCGUGUUUCAUGAAUCAUGAUACAUCAAAAGAAAGCUUUCGACUUCAAUUUAUACUGUUUUUUUUGUGACUGUGGCUUAUAUUUUACUGUCCAGAACAAACACCAUGAAAGCAGUGCCAUGCUCUACCCUCCCGGGGGACAUGCCGGGCGAGGAGGUUGAGCAUGCUCAUUUACACGCCUGCCCAAAAACCGGGUUCAACUACGCCUAAAAUCUGGACAAGAUCUCAUUGGAACCAAUCCAAAUGGUUGACCCCGGACAUGGAGAUCCACCCCGGGACCGCAUCUGCGGUUAGGUGACAGAUUUUCAUAAAACUUAUGAUGAGGUGCCUCCAACAGGUUGGGAUUGCCUCAUCUACCAGAUUAAUCCGGACAAGGGUUGCCCAAUAUCAGCUAGGAUUCAGGAUGGACAGACCAUUGAGAAGAGGACGGUGCCACUAUUUACGAUUAAGAUGAGGGAAACCGCUAUAUCCGUUCCCGAGCCUUACCAUAAUGGCGCCCGUUCCCACAUAUCAGUUACAAAUACGGAUUGAUUUACAAAGUCUAGAACAUGUGCCCCUCCUCAAGCCCAGAAUUGGCGCCCAGGACUAUCAGCCAAUUGUCUUGCUAGAUCAUCAGCCUUAAGUGUUGAAGAGAGAGAGAUGGUUGCCAAGAGCCUGGAGGACCCUGGAUCGAGUCUUCAUGCUGACCGUUUGCCGGGGCUUUUGCCCACUUCGAGAGCGCGCGCUAGGUUGCGGCUAAAGGAGCUCGUGAUGAAAAGGACUUCUCUCCGUAAAAUGCAGAGAAUUCUCAUAGCGGUCGAUUGCUAACAUCACACACGUCACUUCCCCCCCCCCUUUACCAAAGAUGCAAUCCACAUUGAAGUAUCAAAGAACAUUUUUAUACGUCUUGGUUGAAAAGGUGGAAACAUUCGUGAGUUCGAUGGGUCUCUUCUCACGGGUACUUCGACGAGGAACUUGAGGUGUUGAAUUUUGAUGAGAGGGAGAAGAAGUUGUAGAGGAUACCGAAGGUGGGUUGGAAAUUGAGAAUGUAAAAUUGAGGAUAAAUUCCAGGGCGUAAGAAUAGUCUGUUUUACCAAUGAAUGCGACCACCAGGAGUUUUCCAAAUGAAGGUGUUCUCGUACAUUCCAAAAUGAGCGAAUCUGUUCUGGGAGGUCAGAUCGCUCCUCCGGAAAUCCAUUCACGAGCACAUUCAUCAAGCUCUGGCACUCCGGAUCGUUUUCAAUUUCCCAUCUCAAAUGAGCCAGCUUGAGAUGGGGAAAAUCAUCUUCAGCAUUACACUCCCCCACAUCGAACUCCACCAACGGCAAUCUCCACCAUGGUAAACUCCGCCAACGGGGAUCUCCGCCAGCCAAAAAACCCGCAACAUGCACUUCCGCCACAGAAGACCUCGCCAUGAUAAAGUCGCCGAUAUCUCAGCUCGCCAAUGAAGAUUUUUCCCCAAAAAGGAAAUCUGUUAAAGGAAGAUCUUUCUUCAUCUGAGGGAACUCUGCCAUGAUACACUCCCUACAUUGAAAUCUACAAUGAGAUUUCCAAGCAAUGAAAUACACUUUGCCAACAAUAUGCUCCUACAGAGGGACCUCCAACAGGGUCUUCAUUUUUUUUAUUGAACCUGAAAAUAAAUAUUGCAAGUCUGA